GUUGUAUGGUUAAGUGACUAAGCGUACACGGUGGAUGCCUGGGCAGUCAGAGGCGAUGAAGGACGUACUAACUUGCGAUAAGCGCAGAUAAGGCAGUAAGAGCCGUUUGAGUCUGCGAUUUCCGAAUGGGGAAACCCAACUGCAUAAGCAGUUACUGUUAACUGAAUACAUAGGUUAACAGAGCAAACCGGGGGAACUGAAACAUCUAAGUACCCCGAGGAGAAGAAAUCAACCGAGAUUCCGGUAGUAGCGGCGAGCGAACCUGGAUUAGCCCUUAAGCACUCGGUGAAGUAGGUGAACAAGCUGGAAAGCUUGGCGAUACAGGGUGAUAGCCCCGUAACCGACGCUUCAUCGAGCGUGAAAUCGAGUAGGGCGGGACACGUGAUAUCCUGUCUGAAUAUGGGGGGACCAUCCUCCAAGGCUAAAUACUCCUGACUGACCGAUAGUGAACCAGUACCGUGAGGGAAAGGCGAAAAGAACCCCUGUGAGGGGAGUGAAAUAGAACCUGAAACCGUGUACGUACAAGCAGUAGGAGCACCUUCGUGGUGUGACUGCGUACCUUUUGUAUAAUGGGUCAGCGACUUAUAUUCAGUGGCAAGGUUAACCGUAUAGGGGAGCCGUAGCGAAAGCGAGUCUUAACUGGGCGCUCAGUCUCUGGAUAUAGACCCGAAACCGGGUGAUCUAGCCAUGGGCAGGUUGAAGGUUGAGUAACAUCAACUGGAGGACCGAACCGACUAAUGUUGAAAAAUUAGCGGAUGACUUGUGGCUAGGGGUGAAAGGCCAAUCAAACUCGGAGAUAGCUGGUUCUCCCCGAAAGCUAUUUAGGUAGCGCCUCGGACGAAUACUACUGGGGGUAGAGCACUGUUAAGGCUAGGGGGUCAUCCCGACUUACCAACCCUUUGCAAACUCCGAAUACCAGUAAGUACUAUCCGGGAGACACACGGCGGGUGCUAACGUCCGUCGUGGAGAGGGAAACAACCCAGACCGCCAGCUAAGGUCCCAAAGUAUUGCUAAGUGGGAAACGAUGUGGGAAGGCUCAGACAGCUAGGAUGUUGGCUUAGAAGCAGCCAUCAUUUAAAGAAAGCGUAAUAGCUCACUAGUCGAGUCGGCCUGCGCGGAAGAUGUAACGGGGCUAAGCAAUACACCGAAGCUGCGGCAAUGUCUUUUAGACAUUGGGUAGGGGAGCGUUCUGUAAGCCGUUGAAGGUGAAUCGUAAGGUUUGCUGGAGGUAUCAGAAGUGCGAAUGCUGACAUGAGUAACGACAAAGGGGGUGAAAAACCUCCUCGCCGGAAGACCAAGGGUUCCUGUCCAACGUUAAUCGGGGCAGGGUGAGUCGACCCCUAAGGUGAGGCCGAAAGGCGUAAUCGAUGGGAAACGGGUUAAUAUUCCCGUACUUCUGACUAUUGCGAUGGGGGGACGGAGAAGGCUAGGUGGGCCAGGCGACGGUUGUCCUGGUUCAAGUGCGUAGGCUUGAGAGUUAGGUAAAUCCGGCUCUCUCUAAGGCUGAGACACGACGUCGAGCUACUACGGUAGUGAAGUCAUUGAUGCCAUGCUUCCAGGAAAAGCCUCUAAGCUUCAGAUAGUCAGGAAUCGUACCCCAAACCGACACAGGUGGUCGGGUAGAGAAUACCAAGGCGCUUGAGAGAACUCGGGUGAAGGAACUAGGCAAAAUGGUACCGUAACUUCGGGAGAAGGUACGCUCUUGAUGGUGAAGUCCCUCGCGGAUGGAGCUGACGAGAGUCGCAGAUACCAGGUGGCUGCAACUGUUUAUUAAAAACACAGCACUGUGCAAAAUCGCAAGAUGACGUAUACGGUGUGACGCCUGCCCGGUGCCGGAAGGUUAAUUGAUGGGGUUAGCGCAAGCGAAGCUCUUGAUCGAAGCCCCGGUAAACGGCGGCCGUAACUAUAACGGUCCUAAGGUAGCGAAAUUCCUUGUCGGGUAAGUUCCGACCUGCACGAAUGGCGUAAUGAUGGCCACGCUGUCUCCACCCGAGACUCAGUGAAAUUGAAAUCGCUGUGAAGAUGCAGUGUACCCGCGGCUAGACGGAAAGACCCCGUGAACCUUUACUACAGCUUGGCACUGAACAUUGAACCUACAUGUGUAGGAUAGGUGGGAGGCUAUGAAGACGUGACGCCAGUUGCGUUGGAGCCGUCCUUGAAAUACCACCCUUGUAUGUUUGAUGUUCUAACUUAGACCCGUUAUCCGGGUUGAGGACAGUGCCUGGUGGGUAGUUUGACUGGGGCGGUCUCCUCCCAAAGAGUAACGGAGGAGCACAAAGGUGGGCUAAUCACGGUUGGACAUCGUGAGGUUAGUGCAAUGGCAUAAGCCCGCUUAACUGCGAGAAUGACGGUUCGAGCAGGUGCGAAAGCAGGUCAUAGUGAUCCGGUGGUUCUGUAUGGAAGGGCCAUCGCUCAACGGAUAAAAGGUACUCCGGGAUAACAGGCUGAUACCGCCCAAGAGUUCAUAUCGACGGCGGUGUUUGGCACCUCGAUGUCGGCUCAUCACAUCCUGGGGCUGAAGUCGGUCCCAAGGGUAUGGCUGUUCGCCAUUUAAAGUGGUACGCGAGCUGGGUUUAGAACGUCGUGAGACAGUUCGGUCCCUAUCUGCCGUGGGCGUUGGAAGAUUGAAGGGGGCUGCUCCUAGUACGAGAGGACCGGAGUGGACGAACCUCUGGUGUUCGGGUUGUGUCGCCAGACGCAUUGCCCGGUAGCUAAGUUCGGAAUUGAUAAGCGCUGAAAGCAUCUAAGCGCGAAGCGAGCCCUGAGAUGAGUCUUCCCUGACAGUUUAACUGUCCUAAAGGGUUGUUCGAGACUAGAACGUUGAUAGGCAGGGUGUGUAAGCGUUGUGAGGCGUUGAGCUAACCUGUACUAAUUGCCCGUGAGGCUUAACCAUACAACACCCAAGGGGUUUUGUA
This 2915-nucleotide ribosomal RNA is filed under the name Vibrio cholerae. RNAcentral's name for it is "23S ribosomal RNA". It matches the Rfam family "Bacterial large subunit ribosomal RNA". Lineage: Bacteria; Pseudomonadati; Pseudomonadota; Gammaproteobacteria; Vibrionales; Vibrionaceae. The record is from RNAcentral.